AGGGUUAUUGCCAAGCGGUAAGGCACAGGACUUUGACUCCUGCAUCCGAGGGUUCGAAUCCCUCUAGCCCCGUUA
Molecule: transfer RNA, 75 nt
Filed under: Bacteriophage sp.
Description: tRNA-Gln
Rfam family: tRNA
About the family: Transfer RNA (tRNA) molecules are approximately 80 nucleotides in length. Their secondary structure includes four short double-helical elements and three loops (D, anti-codon, and T loops).
Source: RNAcentral